UGAACGCUGGCGGCGUGCUUAACACAUGCAAGUCGAACGAGAAAGUCUUUGCUUGCAAAGACGAGUAGAGUGGCGCACGGGUGAGUAACACGUAGAUAAUCUACCUUCAAGCCUGGAAUAACUGUUCGAAAGGGCAGCUAAUACCGGAUAAAGUUAAUACACAUAAGUUAAUUAAUGAAAGAUUGCCUAUCCUUGGAAGCAAUUGUUUGGAGAUGAGUUUGCGGACCAUUAGUUUGUUGGUGGGGUAAAGGCCUACCAAGACUACGAUGGUUAGCUGGUCUGAGAGGAUGAUCAGUCACACUGGAACUGGAACACGGUCCAGACUCCUACGGGAGGCAGCAGUGAGGAAUUUUGCGCAAUGGGGGAAACCCUGACGCAGCAACGCCGCGUGAGUGAAGAAGGCCUUUGGGUCGUAAAGCUCUGUCAACUGGGAAGAAGUUGUAUAUAUCCAAUAGGUAUGUUCAUUGACGGUACCAGUGGAGGAAGCGCCGGCUAACUCC
RNAcentral lists this ribosomal RNA (500 nucleotides) under uncultured bacterium. RNAcentral describes it as "bacterial SSU rRNA". It matches the Rfam family "Bacterial small subunit ribosomal RNA", at positions 30 to 504 of the family's 1533-position model. The record is from RNAcentral.